UGCAAGUCGAGCGGAUCUUGUCCUUCGGGACAGGUUAGCGGCGGACGGGUGAGUAACACGUAGGCAACCUGCCCAUAAGACCGGGAUAACUGGCGGAAACGCCUGCUAAUACCGGAUAAUCGAUUCGCCCGCCUGGGCGAAUCGUGAAAGAUGCUUCGGCAUCGCUUGUGGAUGGGCCUGCGGCGCAUUAGCUAGUUGGCGGGGUAACGGCCCACCAAGGCGACGAUGCGUAGCCGACCUGAGAGGGUGAUCGGCCACACUGGGACUGAGACACGGCCCAGACUCCUACGGGAGGCAGCAGUAGGGAAUCUUCGGCAAUGGACGAAAGUCUGACCGAGCAACGCCGCGUGAGUGAGGAAGGUCUUCGGAUCGUAAAGCUCUGUUGCCAGGGAAGAACAGCCUGGGGAGGGAAUGCCCUAGGCUUGACGGUACCUGAGAAGAAAGCCCCGGCUAACUACGUGCCAGCAGCCGCGGUAAUACGUAGGGGGCAAGCGUUGUCCGGAAUUAUUGGGCGUAAAGCGCGCGCAGGCGGUUUCUUAAGUCUUGUGUUUAAUCCCGGGGCUCAACCUCGGUUCGCAUGGGAAACUGGGAAACUGGAGUGCAGGAGAGGAAAGUGGAAUUCCACGUGUAGCGGUGAAAUGCGUAGAGAUGUGGAGGAAC
This 660-nucleotide ribosomal RNA is filed under the name uncultured earthworm intestine bacterium. RNAcentral describes it as "bacterial SSU rRNA". It matches the Rfam family "Bacterial small subunit ribosomal RNA", at positions 56 to 707 of the family's 1533-position model. The record is from RNAcentral.